CGCGUAGGCGGUCUCUUAAGUCAGAUGUGAAAGCCCGAGGCUUAACCUCGGAAGUGCAUUUGAAACUAAGGGACUUGAGUAUGGGAGAGGGAAGUGGAAUUCCUGGUGUAGCGGUGAAAUGCGUAGAUAUCAGGAGGAACACCGGUGGCGAAGGCGACUUCCUGGACCAAUACUGACGCUGAGGCGCAAAGGCGUGGGGAGCAAACAGGAUUAGAUACCCUGGUAGUCC
Molecule: ribosomal RNA, 229 nt
Filed under: uncultured bacterium
Lineage: Bacteria
Description: partial 16S ribosomal RNA
Rfam family: Bacterial small subunit ribosomal RNA
Source: RNAcentral